UUUUCCAGGCAAAUCCGGAAAACCAAGGCUGAGGCGUGAUGACGAGGCACUACGGUGCUGAAGCGACAAAUGCCCUGCUUCCAGGAAAAGCCUCUAAGCAUCAGGUAACAUCAAAUCGUACCCCAAACCGACACAGGUGGUCAGGUAGAGAAUACCAAGGCGCUUGAGAGAACUCGGGUGAAGGAACUAGGCAAAAUGGUGCCGUAACUUCGGGAGAAGGCACGCUGAUAUGUAGGUGAAGCGACUUGCUCGUGGAGCUGAAAUCAGUCGAAGAUACCAGCUGGCUGCAACUGUUUAUUAAAAACACAGCACUGUGCAAACACGAAAGUGGACGUAUACGGUGUGACGCCUGCCCGGUGCCGGAAGGUUAAUUGAUGGGGUUAGCGGCAACGCGAAGCUCUUGAUCGAAGCCCCGGUAAACGGCGGCCGUAACUAUAACGGUCCUAAGGUAGCGAAAUUCCUUGUCGGGUAAGUUCCGACCUGCACGAAUGGCGUAAUGAUGGCCAGGCUGUCUCCACCCGAGACUCAGUGAAAUUGAACUCGCUGUGAAGAUGCAGUGUACCCGCGGCAAGACGGAAAGACCCCGUGAACCUUUACUAUAGCUUGACACUGAACAUUGAGCCUUGAUGUGUAGGAUAGGUGGGAGGCUUUGAAGUGUGGACGCCAGUCUGCAUGGAGCCGACCUUGAAAUACCACCCUUUAAUGUUUGAUGUUCUAACGUUGGCCCGUAAUCCGGGUUGCGGACAGUGUCUGGUGGGUAGUUUGACUGGGGCGGUCUCCUCCUAAAGAGUAACGGAGGAGCACGAAGGUUGGCUAAUCCUGGUCGGACAUCAGGAGGUUAGUGCAAUGGCAUAAGCCAGCUUGACUGCGAGCGUGACGGCGCGAGCAGGUGCGAAAGCAGGUCAUAGUGAUCCGGUGGUUCUGAAUGGAAGGGCCAUCGCUCAACGGAUAAAAGGUACUCCGGGGAUAACAGGCUGAUACCGCCCAAGAGUUCAUAUCGACGGCGGUGUUUGGCACCUCGAUGUCGGCUCAUCACAUCCUGGGGCUGAAGUAGGUCCCAAGGGUAUGGCUGUUCGCCAUUUAAAGUGGUACGCGAGCUGGGUUUAGAACGUCGUGAGACAGUUCGGUCCCUAUCUGCCGUGGGCGCUGGAGAACUGAGGGGGGCUGCUCCUAGUACGAGAGGACCGGAGUGGACGCAUCACUGGUGUUCGGGUUGUCAUGCCAAUGGCACUGCCCGGUAGCUAAAUGCGGAAGAGAUAAGUGCUGAAAGCAUCUAAGCACGAAACUUGCCCCGAGAUGAGUUCUCCCUGACUCCUUGAGAGUCCUGAAGGAACGUUGAAGACGACGACGUUGAUAGGCCGGGUGUGUAAGCGCAGCGAUGCGUUGAGCUAACCGGUACUAAUGAACCGUGAGGCUUAACCUU
This 1423-nucleotide ribosomal RNA is filed under the name Escherichia coli. RNAcentral's name for it is "partial 23S ribosomal RNA". It matches the Rfam family "Bacterial large subunit ribosomal RNA", at positions 1528 to 2925 of the family's 2925-position model. The record is from RNAcentral. Lineage: Bacteria; Pseudomonadati; Pseudomonadota; Gammaproteobacteria; Enterobacterales; Enterobacteriaceae.